UACGAAGGGGGCUAGCGUUGUUCGGAUUUACUGGGCGUAAAGCGCACGUAGGCGGAUCUUUAAGUCAGAGGUGAAAUCCCAAGGCUCAACCUUGGAACUGCCUUUGAUACUGGGGAUCUUGAGUCCGGGAGAGGUGAGUGGAACUGCGAGUGUAGAGGUGAAAUUCGUAGAUAUUCGCAAGAACACCAGUGGCGAAGGCGGCUCACUGGCCCGGUACUGACGCUGAGGUGCGAAAGCGUGGGGAGCGAACAGG
Molecule: ribosomal RNA, 253 nt
Filed under: uncultured bacterium
Lineage: Bacteria
Description: partial 16S ribosomal RNA
Rfam family: Bacterial small subunit ribosomal RNA
Source: RNAcentral